CCCUAUUGCGUGCGUCGUGCCCUUCCGUCUUCAAUAGCAAAUGAAGCGUCUCGCCUUCCGGCGGUUUCCAUCACCCCCUCUACUCUAUAAUACUUUGAAUGCAAUUUAAUGGUAAAACAUAUCCCAUAUUAUCAAUGAGAGAGACAAAGAGAAACGUCAGAGAGAAGAAGAGGGGAAACCUUGCGAGGAUAAAAGGGGUCACCGGUGACAAUUCGGACCACUAUUAGGCGCGAGGGUUGUACUGGUGGAGAGCCUAGGUUAAGGCGAAAAACCACGACGAUUUCGAUCUGAGUUCACAAAUUCACCUUCCGAUCUCUAUCAUGCUGCUUUGUUGAAGAACUCAUCUUUUGAUUCUCAAACAAAAUGUCUGGAAAUGUCUGAUUCCAUUAAGAUGAUUUCUCUGGACGCUGGAAUGUUCAGAUUCAGCCUAGCAACAAGGUUAUGAUGGGAAUACAACCGAUUGGAACAUGCUUUGCGCCAGGAAACGAGAUUAUUCCUGUCAGUGAUGAAUGCGGAUAUUGAGUAGUAUCUAAAACAAUUAUGCAUUGCCAACAGAUGUAGUUGGAUUAGUUGUUGCGGUCGACCCGAUUGGCGGUAUUGUACUUGCGGUUUAUACGACUGUAAACUGGUCUGGAACUGUCAAGGAAAAUGCAGGUUAGGCGGGUUGACCAAUCUCUGAAUAUUGACGAGUCUAAGUGUCUUACACUCUAACCUGAGAUCCCAUUGAUAGCAUGCAACUCAAAUCACUUAUAUAGUUUUUAUACCCUUAAUCAUUUUUUGUGUACUGUUAUGCCAAUUUUUUCUGCAGAUGUGUGGAUUCAGGUUAUGUAUCAACUUCUAGAUUCUGGGUUUAUACGAUUGAUUUUUUUUUUCAUUUUUCAUUGAAGAUCAAUACAAGGUUUGUUCAUGUGAAUGGUGUUCUUUCAACAUUUGCUCAUGGACUACAUGUAAAAUUCAAUCUGUGUGUUGUGCAAUUCUGUUGAUUAUUAAGAUGAGACGAUCUCUUUUUGAAUAAUCUAAUAGAAGAAGAUUC
RNAcentral lists this long non-coding RNA (1033 nucleotides) under Helianthus annuus (common sunflower). RNAcentral's name for it is "sRNA HanXRQr2_Chr14g0641101". Lineage: Eukaryota; Viridiplantae; Streptophyta; Magnoliopsida; Asterales; Asteraceae. The record is from RNAcentral.